CUUGGCACUCACAAACAUGCCCUGCACGGGAAGGCACGUCUGACAACGCACAGCACCAAACUACCUCUCACCAACUGCUCAGCGAUCUAUCUCUCUGUGCCCUUUGCAACACUGGCGCUUCCAAAAAUUAACCAACAAGCCGAGACCCUUCCCGACACCCCCCACGUUGUGCAUCGGGUGAGCCCCGCAUGCGGCUGCUCCACGCAGAGGUCCCAGCCCUCCGAGCAGGGCAAAGCCGAGCUCCCCCCGCAGCCCUUACCGGGGCUCAGCGCCGAGGGGCCUGGGGCAGCCGUGUGUCUGCCCGCACCGCACCGCACCGCACCGCACCGCCCCCGGCCCAGCCCAGCAGGGCCCAGCUCCUGCCGAGACACAGAACCCCAGGCCGCCCUCGCCUCGGCUCCCGCCCCCAUGCCCUGCCGCUCUCCGGCUCUCCCCGUCCCCACCUGCUCGGCGGGCCGGGCCGGGCUGCGCCUGGCGCUGGGGUAUGACAGGGCCGAAGGCUCCGAGCGAGACGCAGCUCCCCCAGCCCUAAACACAGAUCCGGGCCCUGCGCAGGCGCGGGGGGCGGUGACGCUGCGGGCGGGGAGCGCUUCGGUUGUGGCUGCUGCCCGGCUGGAGACCUGCGCUGUGCGGGACGGGGAAGGCUGGGUUGGCUUGUUUGUUGCCAUAGCACUGUGGUUAUUUUCUCUUCCCUGUUUGAUCGGUGGUAGUGGAGGUCUGGCUUCUACCAGCUAUUUCACCUUUUAUCAACUACAAGCAGCAGAAACCUAACAAUGAAGAAUGAUGCAAAUGUAACAAUCCUAUUGAUUGAACCAGAAAUUCCUCUCCAUGAGAAAGAUUGAAUGUACCUACUGAAACAGAAACCACUUAGGUAAUGGACUUAGACAAGGUAAAUAAUAUCAGCUAAAACUCCCACAGAAUGGACAGCAUGUUAUAUGUCUCAUGGGGAUAUCCUGAUAACAGUUCUUGUCAAAAGAACAGAAGUUGUACUGAAGUCAUGCUUCAGAGAAGCUUAAAAUGCAUCCUCGUGGCCUUCACAGAUUCGAAUAGUUCAGAUGUACUAAGAUGAAGGUCUUUUCACUUCAAGAUACUGAGCACAGUGUAUAGCUAUGGUUUUCCUCAACCUUAAGGAAGACAUAGACUGACAGCUCUUCUAUUGCCCUAAUAAAUAAUUAAAGACAGGAUGAUAUCCUGAGAUG
RNAcentral lists this long non-coding RNA (1199 nucleotides) under Coturnix japonica (Japanese quail). RNAcentral's name for it is "lncRNA (ENSCJPG00005011766.1)". Lineage: Eukaryota; Metazoa; Chordata; Aves; Galliformes; Phasianidae. The record is from RNAcentral.